AGCGAACGCUGGCGGCAGGCUUAACACAUGCAAGUCGAGCGGGCACUCUCGGGUGUCAGCGGCGGACGGGUGAGUAACGCGUGGGAACGUGCCCUCUGGUUCGGAAUAACUCAGGGAAACUUGAGCUAAUACCGGAUACGCCCUUAUGGGGAAAGGCUUGCUGCCGGAGGAUCGGCUCGCGACUGAUUAGUUAGUUGGUGAGGUAACGGCUCACCAAGGCGACGAUGAGUAGCUGGGCUGAGAGGAAGGGCAGCCACACCGGUGCUAAGACACAGCCCAGACUCCUACGCGAGGGAGGAGAGGGGGAUAUUGGACCAUGGGGGCAGGCCUGAAGCAGCCCUGCCGGGUAAGUGCUCAAGGCCGUAGGGAUGUAAAGCGCUUUUAACCGGGACGGUAAUGACGGUACCGGAGGAAUAAGCCCCGGCUAACUUCGUG
This 435-nucleotide ribosomal RNA is filed under the name uncultured bacterium. RNAcentral's name for it is "partial 16S ribosomal RNA". It matches the Rfam family "Bacterial small subunit ribosomal RNA", at positions 30 to 507 of the family's 1533-position model. The record is from RNAcentral.